Molecule: long non-coding RNA, 445 nt
Organism: Brassica oleracea var. oleracea
Lineage: Eukaryota; Viridiplantae; Streptophyta; Magnoliopsida; Brassicales; Brassicaceae
Exons: 3
Source: RefSeq, a predicted model, not a curated record
AAGCUAACUCUUCUGGAGGAAUGGUUUGGCCCACUGCGAGAGACGAGGCGGAGCUGGUAGAAGAUUUCGGCUUGGUUAUCGGAGAACAGGAUCAAAUCGACUGCGGAUUCUCCUCCUUUGAUGGGAUGUUACACUGGGCUAUAGGAAGCAGCUAAAGAUGUUUAUGGAUGAGUUGCAGAAGCGUCAAGUAGAGUUAAAGCUUAAAGGAGCUGGUGGAGAAGCUGGACAUGCCGUCUGACGCGGAGUUGAUGCAGAUCGCCGUAUCUGACUUGAACAAUGCUUCCUUGUCCCUGGAAGAUUUUCACCGUGAAACUCUUACAGGACACAAUGACCUUGUUAUAUUAUUCUGGGUACAAUCACCUUCUAACUUGUGCUACUUUGGAAACAUGUUUCAGGCUCUUACAGCAAUCAACACUCUUCUUCAACUCAAAUCCAUAGAGCCUUU